Molecule: ribosomal RNA, 479 nt
Filed under: uncultured bacterium
Lineage: Bacteria
Description: partial 16S ribosomal RNA
Rfam family: Bacterial small subunit ribosomal RNA
Source: RNAcentral
GAUGAACGCUAGCGGGAGGCCUAACACAUGCAAGCCGAGCGGUAUUUGUUCUUCGGAACAGAGAGAGCGGCGCACGGGUGCGGAACACGUGUGCAACCUGCCUUUAUCUGGGGGAUAGCCUUUCGAAAGGAAGAUUAAUACCCCAUAAUAUAUUGAGUGGCAUCAUUUGAUAUUGAAAACUCCGGUGGAUAGAGAUGGGCACGCGCAAGAUUAGAUAGUUGGUGAGGUAACGGCUCACCAAGUCAAUGAUCUUUAGGGGGCCUGAGAGGGUGAUCCCCCACACUGGUACUGAGACACGGACCAGACUCCUACGGGAGGCAGCAGUGAGGAAUAUUGGACAAUGGGUUAGCGCCUGAUCCAGCCAUCCCGCGUGAAGGACGACGGCCCUAUGGGUUGUAAACUUCUUUUGUAUAGGGAUAAACCUACUCUCGUGAGAGUAGCUGAAGGUACUAUACGAAUAAGCACCGGCUAACUCCGCG